UGGGGAAUAUUGCACAAUGGGCGCAAGCCUGAUGCAGCAACGCCGCGUGAACGAUGAAGGUCUUCGGAUCGUAAAGUUCUGUUGCAGGGGAAGAUAAUGACGGUACCCUGUGAGGAAGCCCCGGCUAAAUACGUGCCAGCAGCCGCGGUAAUACGUAUGUUGCGAGCGUUAUCCGGAAUUAUUGGGCUUAAAGGGCAUCUAGGCGGUAAGACAAGUUGAAGGUGAAAACCUGUGGCUCAACCAUAGGCUUGCCUACAAAACUGUUGAACUAGAGUACUGGAAAGGUGGGUGGAACUACACGAGUAGAGGUGAAAUUCGUAGAUAUGUGUAGGAAUGCCGAUGAUGAAGAUAACUCACUGGACAGAAACUGACGCUGAAGUGCGAAAGCUAGGGGAGCAAACAGG
Molecule: ribosomal RNA, 404 nt
Filed under: Verrucomicrobiota bacterium
Lineage: Bacteria; Pseudomonadati; Verrucomicrobiota
Description: Verrucomicrobia bacterium partial 16S ribosomal RNA
Rfam family: Bacterial small subunit ribosomal RNA
Source: RNAcentral